This 456-nucleotide ribosomal RNA is filed under the name uncultured bacterium. Its description in RNAcentral is "bacterial SSU rRNA". It matches the Rfam family "Bacterial small subunit ribosomal RNA", at positions 340 to 786 of the family's 1533-position model. The record is from RNAcentral.
UACGGAAAGCAGCAGUGGGGAAUAUUGCACAAUGGGCGAAAGCCUGAUGCAGCUAUGCCGCGUGUAUGAAGAAGGCCUUAGGGUUGUAAAGUACUUUCAUCGGGGAGGAAAAAACAAAACUAAUAAUUUUAUUUCUUGACGUUACCCGAAAAAGAAGCACCGGCUAACUCCGUGCCAGCAGCCGCGGUAAUACGGAGGGUGCUAGCGUUAAUCAGAAUUACUGGGCGUAAAGAGCACGUAGGUGGUUUUUUAAAGUCAGAUGUGAAAUCCCUGGGCUUAACCUAGGAACUGCAUUUUGAAACUGAAAUACUAGAGUAUCGUAGAAGGAGGUAGAAUUCUAGGUGUAGCGGUGAAAUGCGUAGAUAUCUGGAGGAAUACCUGUGGCGAAAGCGGCCUCCUAAACGAAUACUGACACUGAGGUGCGAAAGCGUGGGGAGCAAACAGGGAUUAGAUACC